GAUGAACGCUGGCGGCGUGCUUAACACAUGCAAGUCGAACGGAGAGCCAAUGACGGAGUUUUCGGACAACGGAUUUGGUUUCUUAGUGGCGGACGGGUGAGUAACGCGUGAGCAACCUGCCUUGGAGUGGGGAAUAACAGCUGGAAACAGUUGCUAAUACCGCAUAAUGCAGCGAGGGGACAUCCUCUUGCUGCCAAAGAUUUAUCGCUCUGAGAUGGCCUCGCGUCUGAUUAGCUAGUAGGCGAGGUAACGGCCCACCUAGGCGACGAUCAGUAGCCGGACUGAGAGGUUGACCGGCCACAUUGGGACUGAGACACGGCCCAG
This 324-nucleotide ribosomal RNA is filed under the name uncultured bacterium. RNAcentral describes it as "bacterial SSU rRNA". It matches the Rfam family "Bacterial small subunit ribosomal RNA", at positions 28 to 334 of the family's 1533-position model. The record is from RNAcentral.